Pseudopipra pipra is the source of this 1714-nucleotide long non-coding RNA. RefSeq lists it as uncharacterized. The record is from RefSeq and is a predicted model, not a curated record. The transcript has 2 exons. Lineage: Eukaryota; Metazoa; Chordata; Aves; Passeriformes; Pipridae.
GCAAUAUGGUAGCCAAGAGCUGUCUGGAAUGGUGGCCCAGAUGUCUUGCUGUAUUCAAAUAUGACUGUAAGUCAGUCAUCUUACUCCAUAAACAGUGGACAGCCCAGGGCCUGCUGAGCAAUCCGGCAUGGCAGUAGGCUGCACACCAGGAUCUCCCCUUGAGCAGGCCUGCCUCUCAAGGUUACCCCUCGAGGCUGAGAUCUCUCUUGCAACAACAAGUUCUUGGUGAUUCAUAGCAUGCUAGCUUUAAAAUCUUAGCUAAGUAAUAUAAAGGAUUGAUUGUGCACAUAAAAUCCUUUAGAUGUAAACAGUUGACCAAGUCUGGGAGUGAGUGUGGAUGCAGCUGCACCCAAACUCUCCUCUGAGAAGGGAUUUAGAAUGCAAGGAGGUCCUUUCUGAACCUCAGGUCUCAACGGGAGGGUCUCCCUGACGGUUUUGUCUGACCCUGUUCCCUAUGCAGUAAAUAAUCAAGUGUACCUUGCCAUGGAAUCUUGUUAAGCCGCUGUCGCAGUUACUGUUGAACUUUGUUAACUCACUGUUUUGUAUCAAUAAGGUGUAUUGUUGCUUCUCUCUUCCGAGUGAAGUGCAUGACCCCAUCCAUGACACAUGCCCUUUUCUCCCCUCCAUUUCAGUACUCAGGUAGCAUAGGAACCAUUAACAUCUGAAAAAGGGGAAGAAACAUUAGAAAGUUUUUGUACAUUUGUUUUAUCUGUAUUAUUGGUAAUGAGCCAUAUAAGUUGGACAAUUUGGGUUAUGAAUGUAUAUUAAGAUUUUAAGAAAACUAACAAUGAAAUCUUAUCUUUGUGUAGAAGGUGUGUUUCUUCAGGCCAAAUAAAUUGCAUGCAAUAUUGGGUCUAGUAUCCUUGUCCUUGGAGACUGUCUGUUAAAUCUGAAUGCAGGAUUUUUUACCUCAAGGAUGGUGCAGGUUGGAAGUGGAAUUAUUAAUAUAUACAAUGAAAUAACACAUUUAUAAUCUUCUUUAUUAAACUGAAAAGGCUGUGUUCAUAUAUAUAUUAAUUUAUAUCUGUUAUUUUUAAAGCCUCAGUCUUCUGAAAGCGCAGGUAUGCUACAGCUGCUUCCCACUGGGUUAUGCUCCCUCUUUCUUCUUAGGCCUGUGAAAGGUAUUGCUACAAAGAAAGACACAUUCAGUUGUUUAAUCCACUGCACAAUCCUACCAAUCUAAACUUCUUUCCUUUUUUCCAAACACCUGAAAAGAGGGCUCAUACAACAGAUUUUAAAGAGUUUUGCAAGGUUUCAAGGCCAAAGCCAAUUAAAAACUUAAAGGAAGAAGGUAACACAAACAAGAUUGUAAAUUAAGAUGAUCCGAGUCUUUGGCAGACAUGGGAUCUGGAGAAAGAAGACAGAAGCCGUAAGGCAUUACUUUUCAUCUCCUGGCUCUGAAAAUGGCAAUGAGCCAAAGCUUGAGAUGCUCUAAACUGCUGUGAUUUUAAUAACUCUUCCAUAUAGCCAAAGGCCAAGGAUCUGGUCCAGAGAUCGUGCCUGCUAUCGUGUCUGCUCAUUUGUGUUUAAAAUCUCAUUAGCAUGAUGGAAUUGAGAAUACAUGGUAGCUCAGUUCAUAGUGUCCUAUGCUUUUUGUAAUGAGGGUUUUUUAGCCUAUAUGUAGUAUAUAACUCAUUAACGGGGGGGGGAAAAGGACCCUGAAGCUGUACAAUGAGGUUAUUUUCUAAGGCCUUUAUUAAAACUGAGGGGAUGA